This is a long non-coding RNA of Diorhabda sublineata, 2116 nucleotides long. RefSeq lists it as uncharacterized. The transcript is spliced from 3 exons. Lineage: Eukaryota; Metazoa; Arthropoda; Insecta; Coleoptera; Chrysomelidae. The record is from RefSeq and is a predicted model, not a curated record.
GUCGCUUUUUUUUAGUUAUUAUCUCGUUUGUUUUUAUUUUUAAUACAUUAUAAUUAUAAUAAGAAUACGUUUUGAACCUACACUACGGCACAACAAAUAUAAAACGUUAUAAUAUGAUGAAUUUCAACAAAAUAUUAUUUGACUGUUAAAAACUAGGCCAACUUGUAAAUGCUUUUCAACUGAUUUGUUUUAAGGUUCAUGUAUGUAUAAUCUAGCUUUAUAUGCUAACUGAAUAUGCUAAACAGUAAAUUUAUAUUUCACAUAAGCGGGUGUUGUUUCGUUAUUCUACAUUUAUCAACAGGGCGGAAAGGAAGUUGGUAGGAGUGACACCGAUUUUAGUACAGAUUGAUGACUACAUUACGUUUCAUACAUUGAGAUUACGCUAGUUUAUGAGUAACAUUUAUGAUGCUAGAUCUCUAAUACAUAUCUAUUUAAAUUUAACACAAUUUUACCCUGAUAUACAGAUAUUGACCGGAGACUGCUGCAGAAUAUAUAUAGAAUUUCUAAUAAUUUCACGUGAUCAAUGACGUUGGUUCUGCGCCAUAGUAUUUAUUAUUAACUAAUAAAAAUGCACCUAAGCUAAAAAUCCGAUAAUGUUACGAAUCUUCACGUUCAUCAACAAUAUUUAAAAAAAUGUAAUGCACUAAUUUUCAUAAUUUUAGAAAUAUUCAGCUGAUUCACGUGUUAUUAUUGAUCAAAUGAAAUGAACAGAAAUAUUAUCAUAAGCAGAGUAAUUACUCAUGAAGUUCCGUUAAAGCAAUACGUUGCAUGUACUGGAUCAAUUGGCUUAGUCCACUUCCGACAGAUUAUGGGGGACCUGCUCUGCAUAUUUUUCCAAUCUGCUGAAAAUAUUCUGGGAUAAUAGAGCUUGGAGAACCAUUUUUAGAAUGGGGCCUUGUAUUACCAAGCACUGGGACACCUUUGCCCAGCAUACCAUUCCGUUUAUGUCGGAUGGUUUCAAAUAAUCUUAUCUAAAUCUUAAUCUGAUUUUAUACUCUGGCCAAGCUCUAAGUGAUCUAUCAGGUUAAACACUACAUAAAUUCCAGACGACAGUUCCGGCAGAGGGUGUAUGAUAAAAUGCUGGUGAAUGUGAAUGACAGAUGCGGACACAUUGCGAAGAAAAAUUAAAUGAGCGUUUGUUUCAGACAUCACCUCUCCAUUUGUAUGAAAUCUUUUUCACUAAGCUAUUUAUCUAAAUUUGGAAACAGAAAAUAAUCGGAAGGCGCCAGAUUACGAGAAUAUGGCAGCUAGAACUAUAUUUUCGGCAACAAUAGUGAACGAUUGGUCAAGUUCAUUGUUGUGAUGGAACAAAACUUUUUGUCUUGAACAAAUCAUGUGACUGUGAACGGACAUUUAGCAUCAUCAAUGUACAUAUGGCCACUUUGGAAAGCGAUCACACACGCUAGUACGUUACUGACGAAAAGAAUCCUAUUCAGGUAACAAUACGUAACAUACGAUGAAAGAAAUAUAGAAGUAGUUCAUUCACAAACAAUAGGCGUAGUAUAUAUCUUAAAUCAACAUCUCUCAUCUUAUCGUUUUUGGAAUCCGGUUCAAAUUAUUUCGCAUAGAACAAGUACAAGGCGAUGAAAAAGCUUUUACCUUUCACUACAAAUUAACUACAAAUAAAAAUGCGUUAAGGUUACGAGAUUGUCAUCGACUUCCUAGAAUCGUAGAGAGAAGAUAACAAACAGAUUUGCAUUAAGAGAAUUUCAAUGUAAACACUUUAAACAACUUAAAAAAUAAAUUACAAAUAAGUGCCCCAAUUUGGUUGGUGGUGAUGUAUCAAAGUGGUAUUUUAGUCGUUCUUUUAAAGAUUUCUAGGUACUGACCUCUACUAGUUGUUUGGAAUUACCAGUGAUUAUUAAAGGUAAGUACCCGAAGUUUAUUGCAGUUAAGACGACUAUACAUAUUGGAUUUACUGCCAGCUCAUAAUUGGAAAAAUCUUUAUCUGCCACAUAAGCAUUUUUAAAAUAAUUUUUACAAUGAGGAAAUGAUUAUUUUUUUGUUGCUUUAUGUGGUAAUUUCUAGUUUUCUCAGUGUUAUUUAAAUGCAUUAACCUUCAGGAAAUGUUUAAUUGAAUGCACUCGAUAAUAAAAAGAAACAUUAUGAAUAGAAA